UACGUAGGGUGCGAGCGUUAAUCGGAAUUACUGGGCGUAAAGCGUGCGUAGGCGGUUCGUUAAGUUCGUUGUGAAAGCCCCGGGCUCAACCUGGGAAUGGCAAUGGAAACUGGCGGGCUGGAGUAUGGCAGAGGGGGGUGGAAUUCCGCGUGUAGCAGUGAAAUGCGUAGAGAUGUGGAGGAACACCGAUGGCGAAGGCAGGUCUCUGGGCUGACACUGACGCUCAUGCACGAAAGCGUGGGGAGCAAACAGG
This 253-nucleotide ribosomal RNA is filed under the name uncultured bacterium. RNAcentral describes it as "partial 16S ribosomal RNA". It matches the Rfam family "Bacterial small subunit ribosomal RNA", at positions 524 to 776 of the family's 1533-position model. The record is from RNAcentral.